Helianthus annuus (common sunflower) is the source of this 1227-nucleotide long non-coding RNA. RefSeq lists it as uncharacterized. NCBI's taxonomy places the organism in Eukaryota, Viridiplantae, Streptophyta, Magnoliopsida, Asterales, Asteraceae. The record is from RefSeq and is a predicted model, not a curated record. The transcript has 8 exons.
CGGAUCGCCAUUUCGAUUCCCUCCUCUCUCACAACUCACAUCUCACAAACUUCAUCAGACUUUCUCCUCUCUUUCUCUCUCUUUCUUUCAGGUCAUUGCCGGCUGUUUUUCUAUCUUUAUCGCGAACUUAAAGAUUUCGUGGCUUGAUAACGCGAUUAUGAGUUUUUAGCGGUUUUGUUGAUUAUUGCAAUUCAAUGUCGGGAUCACUUGAUCGAUUUAGCGCGGGUCGAAGCGAUUGCGGGCAGAGCAUGUACAUCAACCAGAGUUGAUACAACCGGGUCAAGAAACAUCCAGCGGUGGCACCACCUUCUCAACUAUGACACUAAUUUGGGAAGCUUAAGAUUCUGUUUUGUUUUUUUGUUUAUUUUAUAUUCAUUUGCAAGCUGAUUGUUCGAAAUAUUUGAAAUAGGUUAUCAGGCUGCAAACCCACCAUCUAAGAACAUGUAUGGAGAAGUAGAUUUGACAUUAUCUGCUUCAGCUCUUUCUGUCAAUACCACAUUAUCUGGCCCUUCAGUUUGUAAAUUUGACACAGUCCUGGGUCUUUUGGACACAAAAAAAAUCCAGACUGGGAUAAAGUUAUCUUAGAUCAUAUAUUUGAUCAGGUAGAACCAGAAAAUGACAAAGUUCAUGAAGAUAUUAGUAAGAAGUGGCCUCUUUCCAUGCUUAGAAGGUACAUCUACUUUGUAAACGGAUAUUUUAGGCCAAUUCUAUCUAAAUGAAACAACUUGCAUAUGGUCUUCAGACCCGUAUUUGUAUCCACGCCUCUAUGGAUGAUUCAAAAGCUUAGUCUCUACUACCAGGUCGAUUAUAAAUUUAAUUUAUAUUAAAACAUCUAAGUGGUCGAUAUGGUUACUUGUACAAGGAUUGGUACUUUGAUACCAACUUCAAAUGAGGCGGGCAGGCACAAUUGGGCAACAGACCUACCUAAACAAGUUUAAGUUGAAAAAUAUAGAAAUAUUUUGUUAUUGGUCGGCUUGGGAACGAAGAAUCGCCUGGAACUUGAGGGUUGCACCUUAUGGAGUCAUGGGUCAUGGCUGAGUGACAAGGAAUCAUAUUUAUCACUUGGUAAUGAAUCGUUAAUUGAAGACGAGAGAAAUAGACGGGUGCAGAAGGAGCUGUUGUUUGUUACCUUGAGCAUCAUCUUGGUGACCGUAGUUCGUUCGCUGGGACUUCCAAUGAUUAUGCCAUCGUUAGCGAUAACAAUCCUUUUAACUUCAUCACUAGGUA